AUUAGACGAAUCAUCUGGAAAGAUGAAUCAAAGAAGGUAAUAAUCCUGUAGUCGAAAAUGUUGUCUCUCUUGAGUGGAUCCUGAGUACGACGGAGCACGUGAAAUUCCGUCGGAAUCUGGGAGGACCAUCUCCUAAGGCUAAAUACUCUCUAGUGACCGAUAGUGAACCAGUACCGUGAGGGAAAGGUGAAAAGCACCCCGGAAGGGGAGUGAAAUAGAACCUGAAACCGUGUGCUUACAAGUAGUCAGAGCCCGUUAAUGGGUGAUGGCGUGCCUUUUGUAGAAUGAACCGGCGAGUUACGAUUUGAUGCAAGGUUAAGCAGUAAAUGUGGAGCCGUAGCGAAAGCGAGUCUGAAUAGGGCGUUUAGUAUUUGGUCGUAGACCCGAAACCAGGUGAUCUACCCUUGGUCAGGUUGAAGUUCAGGUAACACUGAAUGGAGGACCGAACCGACUUACGUUGAAAAGUGAGCGGAUGAACUGAGGGUAGCGGAGAAAUUCCAAUCGAACCUGGAGAUAGCUGGUUCUCUCCGAAAUAGCUUUAGGGCUAGCCUCAAGUGAUGAUUAUUGGAGGUAGAGCACUGUUUGGACGAGGGGCCCC
Molecule: ribosomal RNA, 598 nt
Filed under: Staphylococcus aureus
Lineage: Bacteria; Bacillati; Bacillota; Bacilli; Caryophanales; Staphylococcaceae
Description: partial 23S ribosomal RNA
Rfam family: Bacterial large subunit ribosomal RNA
Source: RNAcentral